CUGACUCUUACUUCCUUUCUCUUUCGUCAGACUUUUGGGCUGCCCUGCCAGGCAGGGGUGAAGGGCAGGUCAGGCGGGAGGCACGAGCAUCCCUCGCCUCCCGCCAGCCCGAUCCCCCCGUGCCUCGUCAGGACAGACAGAAAUGACGUGAAGCCUUUGGCCAUGUCAGCCAAACGAGCUGUUCUAACUAGCAAAUCUGGGUGCUAAUUAGGCUGCUGUUCAAUUAAUUGACCCAGCACCCAGGCCUCCUGUGUUAGGGGGGUGGAACUGGAUGAGCUUUAAGGCCCCUUCCAACCCGAGCUGUUUUGUGAUUUCAUGGUUUCUCCUUCCAGCUGAGGUCUUCUAGGAUUUGUGGAGCGGGAGCAUUUUGACAAGUGCCUGCACAGUUUUCUCCUUUCAGUGCCCCGGAAGGGAAGUGAUGGGUUCUGCCAAAGAUGAGUGCUUGGAUAAUAAGAGAUAAUCAGCGAUGCUCUGCAGCAGGCUUUUGUGUGCAGCAUUACAGCAAAAUCCUAAAUUCCCUUUCCUGCUCAUGCAUACAAAGCAGGAAGAACUAACAUGGCUGCAGACUGUUUCUGUUUGCAGAUGAUUUAGCCAAGGAGAAAAUAACUGGAUGGCUGAAAGAAAGAGUAUUUGGUGGGAAACAACCCUGGAGCACAGCUCCAACGUGAUGGCACGUGAGGCGUCCAGCGUCCUGAGAUGCCCGUGCUCCCAGAAAUGUCAACUGCCAGAGGAGACAGCACGGGACAAUGAGGAAAACCAGAGCAUGCAGGAUCUGAUGGAUGACAGGCUUCCUCCUCCUCAGAGCUGGGUGCUCCCUUCUGCUCCUGGUUCCAGCACUGACACAGGGAAAAUUCCUCCUGGCCAAUUUAGGGCUGCUGUUAGGUGCUGUGGAGGCGAGCCAGGAAUUCGGCUAGUGUAAAUCAGUGCAGCCCGGCGGGCUUGGUUCAAGCGAGGAUGUUUGUACCCGGGGAUGAGCUGCUGCCGCCCAAACCAAGGGCAGGGACACCGGCCCCUGCACCUGGCGCACGCCCUCCCUUAGGGCAGGGCAGGUUCUCCAUGGCAGAGAGCCUUGCAUUGAUACCUGAGCAAAGCCCGACACCUCCCUGUGCAUCGCUUCACGGUCUGUGGUCGGCAGCCUGCAGGAGAAACCUCAGCUUGCCCACAGCCUGGGGGCUGUGCCUGGCUCUGAGCACAUGGCUUUUCCUGCCCCUGCCUCAGCACCCCGACUGCACGACGCUCUGUGAGGCGCUUUGAAUAUCACUGAUUAAAAAGUAUUAAAUGGUCCCUCGUCUGGUCCCUCGGGCAUGUUGCGCAGCCACGGCAGCUGGGCACAAACACCCCCCCCGCUCCCUUGUUUUGAAGCUUCACCCAAUUCCCAGGAUUAUCCCCCCCUUGCCUGUGACAACGUGGAAAGGCGCUGGGAUGACACGAGGCCGUGUCGCUGCGUGCCCCCGGCCAUCUCCUGCUGGCACCUGGGGCCGAUGAAACCCCUCGCUGUGGAUUUAUGCCGGGUGCUGCAGAGAUGUGCUGGGGGCCGAGGGGAUUUGGGGAGGCUGCGGUGAGGUGAGGUGAGGCCAGGGCGAGGCUGAGGCUGAAGCUUUGGAGGCCCCAGGCGAGGAGCACGGUUUGGGUGAGGUUGCACCCCCACCUGCUGGAUAAGCCAAGCAAGGACAGGAGAGAGGCCUCCUGCCGGGGACAAGUGGGGCGAGAAAAGGAGAAAAUAAAUACUCGAGGAGGGCAAAGGAGCCCCGGCUUCCUGGUGUCUGCGGGGGCACAGGGUGGAGACCCCGCUGCCCGCCCGGGGAGCUGGGUGUCCCAUGGGGUGACACUGAGUUGGGUGCUGGGUGUCCCAUGGGGUGACACUGAGCGGGUCCAAGACAUGAGGUGACUGUGACCCAGGCUGCGAGGGUCUGGACGCGUGGAGCAGGCCGAGCAGAGCUGCUCCAUGCUGCUUCGUGCCCAGGUGGUGCCAAGGGGCCACGGCCAGAGGGUGCUGAGGUACAAAACUAGUGGCCUUGGUGGGACUUAAACGUGUAGAGGAACCCAAACCACAGGUGCCCAGAUUUAUCAGGAAUGUUGCUGCACGGCUAUCUAUGGUCCGUGAUCUAUGUGACCAGCACCCUCGCAGUGAGUGGG
This is a long non-coding RNA of Cygnus olor (mute swan), 2136 nucleotides long. RefSeq lists it as uncharacterized. NCBI's taxonomy places the organism in Eukaryota, Metazoa, Chordata, Aves, Anseriformes, Anatidae. The record is from RefSeq and is a predicted model, not a curated record. The transcript is spliced from 3 exons.